This 459-nucleotide ribosomal RNA is filed under the name uncultured bacterium. Its description in RNAcentral is "SSU rRNA". It matches the Rfam family "Bacterial small subunit ribosomal RNA", at positions 26 to 518 of the family's 1533-position model. The record is from RNAcentral.
AGAAUCAACGCUGGCGGCGUGCCUAACACAUGCAAGUCGAACGAGAAAGUGGAGCAAUCCAUGAGUAAAGUGGCGCACGGGUGAGUAACACGUGACUAACCUACCUUUUAGUGGGGGAUAACCUAGGGAAACCUGGGCUAAUACCGCAUAAUACCUACGGGUCAAAGCAGCAAUGCGCUGGAAGAGGGGGUCGCGGCCGAUUAGCUAGUUGGCGGGGUAAUGGCCCACCAAGGCAGUGAUCGGUAUCCGGCCUGAGAGGGCGCACGGACACACUGGAACUGAAACACGGUCCAGACUCCUACGGGAGGCAGCAGUGGGAAUUUUGCGCAAUGGGGGAAACCCUGACGCAGCAACGCCGCGUGGAGGAUGAAGACCCUUGGGUCGUAAACUCCUUUCGAUCGGGACGAUAAUGACGGUACCGGAAGAAGAAGCCCCGGCUAACUUCGCGCCAGCAGCCGC